UACAGAGGUCUCAAGCGUUGUUCGGAUUCAUUGGGCGUAAAGGGUGCGUAGGUGGCGCCGUAAGUCAGGUGUGAAAUUUCGGAGCUUAACUCCGAAACUGCAUUUGAUACUGCGGUGCUUGAGGACUGGAGAGGAGACUGGAAUUUACGGUGUAGCAGUGAAAUGCGUAGAGAUCGUAAGGAAGACCAGUGGCGAAGGCGGGUCUCGUGGACAGUUCCUGACACUGAGGCACGAAGGCCAGGGAGCAAACGGG
RNAcentral lists this ribosomal RNA (253 nucleotides) under uncultured bacterium. Its description in RNAcentral is "partial 16S ribosomal RNA". It matches the Rfam family "Bacterial small subunit ribosomal RNA", at positions 524 to 776 of the family's 1533-position model. The record is from RNAcentral.